Molecule: small nuclear RNA, 107 nt
Filed under: Procavia capensis (Cape rock hyrax)
Lineage: Eukaryota; Metazoa; Chordata; Mammalia; Hyracoidea; Procaviidae
Source: RNAcentral
GUAGUCACUUUGGCAGCACAUAUACUAAAAUUGGAGUGAUACAGAAAAGCUCAGCAUGGCUCCUAGGCAAGGAUGACAUACAAAUUCAUGAAGUGUUCCCUGUUUGC